UUGGUCGUGCUGACGUGCAGCGCGGCCCAGGCGGGGUGCGAGUGGCGCAGUCGGAGCCCGCUGCGGCCCCUGAGGAAGCGAGGAGGCGUCGGUGUCGGCUGAGGCGGGCGGACCGGCAAAGCAAGGCGGCAGCUCCAGGCCCCGAGGGACUCGGGAGCUUGAGCAGCAGCAGCGGCAGCACCUCUCCCCCUCGGAGGCGGCGGGCGGAGGAGGCGGCGGCGGCGGGAGCGGUGGUGCCCCCCCGGGCACGGGGCCAUGUACAACGGGAUCGGGCUGCCGACGCCCCGGGGCAGCGGCACCAACGGCUACGUCCAGCGCAACCUGUCCCUGGUGCGGGGCCGCCGGGGUGAGCGGCCUGACUACAAGGGAGAGGAGGAACUGCGGCGCCUGGAGGCUGCCCUGGUGAAGCGGCCUAAUCCUGACAUCCUGGACCACGAGCGCAAGCGGCGCGUGGAGCUGCGAUGCCUCGAGCUGGAGGAGAUGAUGGAAGAGCAGGGGUACGAGGAACAGCAAAUUCAGGAAAAGGUGGCUACCUUUCGACUCAUGUUGCUGGAAAAGGAUGUGAACCCUGGGGGCAAGGAAGAGACCCCAGGACAGAGGCCAGCGGUAACUGAGACUCACCAGUUGGCAGAACUGAAUGAGAAGAAAAAUGAGCGACUCCGUGCUGCCUUUGGCAUCAGUGAUUCCUAUGUGGAUGGCAGCUCUUUUGAUCCUCAGCGUCGUGCUCGAGAAGCUAAACAACCAGCUCCAGAGCCUCCCAAACCUUACAGCCUUGUCCGGGAGUCCAGCAGUUCUCGCUCACCCACCCCAAAGCAAAAAAAGAAAAAAAAGAAGAAAGAUAGAGGACGCAGGUCAGAGAGCAGCUCUCCUCGACGAGAGAGGAAGAAGAGUUCUAAGAAGAAGAAGCACAGGUCAGAGUCUGAAUCCAAAAAACGGAAGCAUAGGUCUCCCACUCCAAAGAGCAAACGUAAAUCUAAGGACAAGAAGCGGAAGCGGUCUCGAAGUACAACACCAGCCCCCAAGAGCCGUCGGGCCCACCGUUCAACAUCUGCUGACUCUGCUUCCUCUUCUGAUACUUCCCGCAGUCGGUCUCGAAGUGCAGCAGCAAAAACACAUACAACUGCCUUGACUGGGCGAAGUCCUUCCCCUGUUUCAGGGCGUCGAGGGGAGGGAGAUGCACCUUCUAAGGAACCAGGUACCACCAACAUAGGGCAGCCUAGCAGCCCAGAGCCCUCUACAAAGCAGCCUAGCAGUCCUCAUGAAGACAAAGAUAAAGACAAGGAGAAAUCUGCAGUUCGACCUAGCCCCUCUCCGGAAAGGAGCAGCACAGGCCCAGAACCACCUGCUCCCACUCCGCUCCUUGCUGAGCAACAUGGCGGCUCCCCACAACCCCUUGCAACAAUCACGUUAAGUCAGGAGCCAGUGAACCCCCCAUCUGAGGCUUCCCCACCCCGGGGCCGUUCACUAACUAAGUCUCCUGAGAAACCGCCCCAGUCUUCUUCAGAGAGCUGCCCACCAUCCCCUCAACCUACCAAAGUUUCUCGACAUGCCAGCUCUUCCCCCGAAAGUCCUAAACCUGCACCAGCUCCUGGGUCCCGCCGAGAAAUUUCUUCUUCUCCCACAUCCAAGAGUCGCUCACAUGGCCGUGCAAAGCGGGAUAAGUCACAUUCUCAUACCCCUUCUCGAAGAGUGGGGAGGUCCCGUAGCCCUACUACUACUAAGAGGGGACGAUCUCGGUCUCGAACCCCUACCAAGAGAGGUCAUUCUCGGUCCCGGUCCCCUCAGUGGCGUAGGUCCCGGUCUGCACAGAGGUGGGGAAGAUCCAGAAGCCCCCAGCGACGUGGCCGCUCUAGGUCUCCUCAGCGACCAGGCUGGUCUAGAAGCCGAAAUACACAGAGAAGAGGCAGGUCUAGAUCAGCAAGGCGAGGCAGGUCACACUCUAGAUCCCCAGCCACUAGGGGCAGGUCUCGUUCUAGAACGCCAGCCCGUAGGGCCAGGUCUCGCUCUAGGACACCUGCCAGACGGAGAUCACGAUCCAGAACGCCCACCAGACGUAGGUCUCGCUCUAGAACACCGGCCCGGCGGGGCAGGUCUCGCUCUAGAACACCUGCUAGGCGCAGAUCUAGGACCCGAUCACCAGUACGACGGAGGUCUCGUAGCAGAUCACCAGCCAGGAGAAGUGGCAGGUCACGCUCUAGAACCCCAGCCAGACGUGGUCGUUCACGCUCUAGAACCCCAGCCAGAAGAGGGAGAUCUCGGUCUAGAACACCCGCAAGACGAGGACGGUCUCGGUCUAGGACACCCGCAAGAAGAGGACGGUCUCGGUCUAGGACACCUGCAAGACGAAGAUCUCGUAGUAGAAGUGUAAUUAGACGGGGAAGAUCUCACUCUAGAACGCCACAAAGAAGAGGCAGGUCUGGUUCAUCAUCAGAGCGGAAGAACAAAUCCAGAGCGUCACAGAGAAGGAGCAGGUCCAACUCAAGCCCAGAAAUGAAAAAAUCUCGCAUUUCUUCAAGGCGGAGCAGGUCUCUCUCUUCACCACGGUCCAAAGCAAAAUCUCGCUUGUCUCUGCGGCGAAGCCUUUCAGGGUCAUCUCCGUGUCCUAAACAAAAGUCUCGGACACCACCAAGGCGCAGUCGCUCUGGAUCAUCCCAACCAAAAGCUAAAUCUAGAACACCACCAAGGCGAAGUCGGUCUGGUUCUUCUCCUCCUUCUAAUCAGAAAUCUAAAACACCAUCAAGACAGAGUUGUUCCAGUUCAUCUCCUCAACCUAAAAUGAAGUCUGGAACACCACCAAGGCAAGGGUCUGUAACAAGUCCCCAGGUAAAUGAACAAUCUGCUACGCCACAAAUGCAGAGCCGUUCAGAAUCACCUGAGCCUGAGAUGAAAUCUACAACGCCUUCAAGACAUAGCUGCUCUGGGUCCUCCCCUCCUAGAGUGAAAUCAAGCACAUCUCCAAGACGGAGCCGAUCUGAGUCGUCAUCUCCACAACCCAAAGUGAAGGCAGUAACGUCACCGAUCCAGAGUUGUUCUGGCUCCUCUUCUCCAAGUCCUAGCAGGGUGACAUCCAAAACACCUCCAAGGGAAAGCAGAUCAGAGUCUCCUUGCUCCAAAGUGGAAUCUAGACUGUUGCAAAGACAAAGCCAUUCUAGGUCCUCCUCACCAGAUACCAAAGUGAAACCUGGAACACCACCAAGACAAAGUCACUCAGGAUCUACUUCGCCAUGCCCUAAAGUAAAGCCCCAAACUCUGUCGGGACACAGUCUUUGUGGAUCAAAGUCACCAUGUUCCCAAGAGAAGUCUAAAGACUCAUCAGCACAAAGUUCUGGAUCCUUUUCUCUCUGUCUGGGAGUAAAGUCUAGCACACCACCAGGAGAGCUGUAUUUUGCCACCACCUCUUUGCAACAGAAAGGACAAUCUCAAACUUCACCAGACCCUAGAUCUGAUGCUUCGAGUCCAGAAAUGAAACAGAGUCACUCUGAGUCUCCAUCUCUGCAGAGUAAAUCUCAGACACCUCUUAAGGGUGGCUGGUCCAGGUCCUCAUCUCCAAUCACUGAGCUGGCACCCAAAUCUCCAGCAAGACAAGAAAGAAUCGAAUUGUCAAGUCCUAGGCUAAAAUCUGGAAUGUCUCCUGAACAGAGCAAGUCUCAGUCUGACUCUACCCUUUAUCUUGCAAUGGACUCUAAAUCUCUUCUGGGGCAGAGUAGAUUGGAGCCUUCUGAAUCGAAAGAGAAAACAGGCUUACUCCUUCAGGAGGAUAUUACUGCAUCAUCUCCUAGACCAAGAGACAAAUCAAGUCCUCUUCCAUUGCAGGAUAAGCCUGAUUCCUCACCAGUGCUCAGAGAGACUCCUAAAACCCCAUCAAGGGAAAGAGGUGGUGGUGUUGGAUCAUCUCCAGAUACAAAAGACCAAAGUGCGUUAGCUAAGCCAAGCCAAGAUGAGGAAUUAAUGGAGGUGGUAGAGAAAUCUGAAGAAGCCUCAAACCAGGUCCCCUCCCAUUUGUCUCUGGAACUUAAAGAAGUGGCUGGAAGUAAUUUUGAAUCAUCUCCUGAAAUAGAAGAAAGACCCACUGUGUCUUUAACUGUUGACCAAAGCCAGUCGCAGACUUCUUUGGAAGUGGAAGUCCCUGCAGUGGCCUCAACUUGGAGUGGGCCACAUUUUUCUCCAGAACAUAAAGAACUGUCUAAUUCUCCCUCGAGGGAGAAUAGUUUUGGGUCACCUUUAGAAUUUAGAAACUCAGGCCCUGUUGCAGAAAUGAAUACUGGAUUUUCUCCUGAAGUUAAAGAAGAUUUGAAUGGAUCUUUUCCUAAUCAGCUGGAGACAGAUCCAUUUGUAGAUCUGAAGGAACAAUCAACAAGGUCCUCUAGACGCAGUAGUUCUGAGUUAUCCCCAGAUGCAGUGGGAAAAGCAGGAGUGUCUUCAUAUCAGAGUGUUUCUUCACCAGUACUUGAUGCAGUACCCAGAACACCAUCAAGGGAAAGAAGUAGCUCUGCAUCUCCUGAACUGAAAGAUGGCUUACCCAGAACCCCUUCAAGGAGAAGCAGGUCUGGGUCUUCUCCAGGACUGAGAGAUGGGUCUGGGACUCCCUCAAGACACAGCUUAUCUGGGUCCUCUCCUGGAAUGAAAGAUAUACCUAGAACACCAUCCAGGGGGAGAAGCGAAUGUGAUUCUUCUCCAGAACCAAAAGCUUUGCCUCAGACUCCCAGGCCAAGAAGUCGUUCACCAUCAUCCCCAGAGCUCAACAACAAGUGUCUUACCCCCCAGAGAGAAAGAAGUGGGUCAGAAUCCUCAGUUGAACAGAAGGCUGUGGCUAGGACUCCGCUUGGUCAGAGAAGUCGAUCUGGAUCUUCUCAAGAACUUGAUGGGAAACCAAGUGCAUCCCCUCAAGAAAGAAGUGAAUCAGACUCUUCUCCAGAUUCUAAAGCUAAGACACGAGUACCGCUUAGAGAAAGGAGUCGAUCUGGGUCAUCUCCAGAAGUCGAGAGCAAAUCCCGACCUUCUCCUCGGCGCAGUAGAUCUGGCUCAUCUCCUGAAGUUAAAGAUAAGCCAAGAGCAGCACCCAGGGCACAGAGUGGUUCUGAUUCCUCUCCUGAACCCAAGGCUCCUGCCCUUCGGGCUCUUCCCAGACAAAGCAGGUCAGGUUCAUCAAGCAAAGGCAGAGGCCCUUCUCCUGAAGGAAGCAGUAGUUCAGAGUCGUCUCCAGAACACCCACCCAAAUCCAGAACUGCUAGAAGAAGCUCUAGGUCCUCACCAGAGCCCAAGACCAAGUCCCGUACUCCACCUCGCCGUCGCAGCUCUCGAUCCUCUCCUGAACUCACUAGGAAGGCCAGACUCUCUCGAAGAAGCCGCUCUGCAUCCUCAUCACCAGAAACCCGUUCUAGAACUCCCCCAAGACGCCGAAGAAGUCCUUCAGUCUCUUCCCCAGAGCCAGCUGAAAAGUCGAGAUCCUCACGCCGCCGGCGCUCAGCUUCAUCCCCACGUGCUAAGACAACUUCAAGGAGAGGCCGUUCUCCUUCACCAAAGCCCCGUGGGCUCCAGAGGUCCCGUUCCCGCUCAAGGAGGGAGAAAACCAGAACAACUAGACGUCGAGAUAGGUCUGGAUCUUCUCAGUCAACCUCUCGGAGAAGACAGCGUAGCCGGUCAAGGUCUCGGGUCACUCGUCGGCGGAGAGGAGGCUCUGGUUACCACUCAAGGUCUCCCGCCCGGCAGGAGAGUUCCCGAACUUCUUCCCGACGCCGAAGAGGCCGUUCACGGACACCCCCGACCAGUCGGAAGCGGUCCCGCUCACGUACCUCACCAGCCCCAUGGAAACGUUCAAGGUCUAGGGCCUCUCCCGCCACUCACCGGCGAUCCCGGUCCAGAACACCUCUGGUCAGCCGCCGUAGGUCCAGGUCUCGAACCUCACCGGUCAGUCGGAGACGAUCAAGGUCCAGGACAUCAGUGACUCGACGAAGAUCUCGAUCCAGAGCAUCCCCAGUGAGUCGAAGGCGAUCCAGGUCUAGAACACCACCGGUAACCCGCCGUCGUUCAAGGUCCAGAACACCGACACGCCGGCGCUCCCGUUCUAGAACUCCACCAGUGACCCGAAGAAGGUCUAGAUCUAGGACACCACCAGUAACCAGGAGGCGAUCUCGAAGCAGAACUUCCCCAAUCACUCGAAGAAGAUCGAGAUCCAGAACAUCCCCAGUUGCCCGUAGAAGAUCUAGAUCUCGCACGUCUCCAGUAACUCGAAGGAGGUCCCGCUCUCGAACCUCUCCAGUGACACGCCGCCGUUCUCGGUCCCGAACACCUCCAGCUAUUCGGCGCCGCUCUAGGUCUCGGACCCCACUGUUGCCACGCAAACGUUCUCGAAGUCGCUCUCCACUUGCUAUCCGCCGCCGUUCUAGAUCCCGUACUCCGCGAACAACUCGGGGCAAACGGUCCUUAACGAGAUCUCCUCCUGCCAUCCGAAGGCGUUCUGCAUCUGGAAGUAGUUCUGAUCGUUCACGUUCUGCUAGUCCCCCGGCAACAAGGAAUCAUUCUGGUUCUCGGACACCUCCAGUAGCACUCAAUAGCUCCAGAAUGAGCUGCUUCAGUCGUCCUAGCAUGUCACCAACACCUCUGGACCGCUGUCGAUCACCUGGAAUGCUUGAACCCCUUGGCAGCUCUAGAACACCCAUGUCUGUCCUGCAGCAAGCUGGUGGCUCCAUGAUGGAUGGUCCAGGUCCCCGAAUUCCUGAUCACCCAAGAACAUCCGUGCCAGAAAAUCAUGCACAGUCUAGAAUUGCACUUGCCUUGACAGCCAUCAGUCUUGGCACUGCUCGGCCGCCUCCAUCCAUGUCUGCUGCUGGCCUUGCUGCAAGAAUGUCCCAGGUUCCAGCUCCAGUGCCUCUCAUGAGUCUCAGAACGGCCCCAGCUGCAAGCCUUGCCAGUAGGAUUCCUGCAGCCUCUGCAGCAGCCAUGAACCUGGCCAGUGCCAGGACACCUGCCAUACCAACAGCAGUGAACCUGGCUGACUCGAGAACACCAGCUGCGGCAGCAGCCAUGAACUUGGCCAGCCCCAGAACAGCAGUGGCACCUUCUGCUGUGAACCUUGCUGACCCUCGCACCCCUACAGCCCCAGCUGUGAAUCUAGCAGGAGCCAGAACCCCAGCUGCUUUGGCAGCUUUGAGUCUCACCGGCUCUGGCACACCCCCAACUGCUGCAAACUAUCCCUCCAGCUCCAGAACACCCCAGGCCGCAGCCCCUGCAAACCUGGUGGGUCCUAGAUCUGCACAUGCCACAGCUCCUGUGAAUAUUGCCAGUUCAAGAACCCCUCCUGCCUUGGCACCUGCAAGCCUCACCAGUGCUAGAAUGGCUCCGGCCUUGUCUGGUGCAAACCUUACCAGCCCCAGGGUGCCCCUCUCUGCCUAUGAGCGCGUUAGUGGCAGAACCUCACCACCGCUUCUUGACAGAGCCAGAUCAAGAACCCCGCCGGGAGGCCCAGGCUCCAGAACCCCACCAUCUGCCCUGAGCCAGUCUAGAAUGACCUCUGAGCGGGCUCCCUCUCCUGCCUCUAGAAUGGUCCAGGCUCCCUCACAGUGUGUUCUCCCUCCAGCUCAGGAUAGACCUAGGUCCCCUGUGCCAUCAUCUGCUUUUUCUGACCAGUCCCGAGCUUUGCUUUCCCAGACCCCCCCUGUAGCAGGGUCUCAGUCCCUUUCCUCUGGGACAGUGGCCAAGACCACGUCCUCCGCUGGUGACCACAAUGGCAUGCUCUCUGGCCCUGUCCCUGGGAUGUCCCAUCCUGAGGGGGGGGAACCACCUGCCUCCACGGGGGCCCAGCAGCCUUCCCCGUUGGCCACCCUGCAGCCAGCAAAGGAGCGGCGGAGUUCCUCCUCCUCCUCCUCCUCCAGCUCCUCCUCGUCGUCAUCCUCGUCCUCGUCCUCCUCCUCCUCCUCCUCCUCUGGUUCCAGUUCUAGCGACUCGGAGGGCUCUAGCCUUCCUGCUCAACCUGAGGUAGCAGUGAAGAGGGUGCCCAGCCCAGCCCCAGCCCCAAAGGAGGCUGUUCGAGAGGGGCGUCCUCAGGAGCUGACCCCAGCCAAGCGGAAGAGGCGCUCUAGUAGCUCCAGUUCCAGCUCCUCUUCCUCCUCCUCCUCCUCCUCCUCUUCCUCCUCCUCUUCCUCCUCCUCUUCCUCUUCCUCCUCCUCCUCCUCUUCCUCCUCUUCGACUUCUUCCUCCCCCUCCCCUGCUAAGCCUGGCCCUCAGGCCUUGCCCAAACCUGCAAGCCCCAAGAAGCCACCCCCUGGCGAGCGGAGCCUCUUCCCUGUCUCCCUGCCUCCACGCCAUUCUCUUCCACACGUAGCCAGAGGGAUCUUUCUAAAACGCACAUCUGGUUACUUCCCUUCACUCCACAAAUCCUUCCGGGACGCCCUGUGGCCUGCAGGAUAAAGCCCCACCUCUGCGGGAAUGGCGUGUGAGGCUCUUCACCAACUGGCCUUGCCUGCCCUGUGUUCUCCUCUCCUGCCCGCCCCCACACAUGCCCUGUGCUCCAGCCACACCCAGCGCCUUGCAGUCUAAGGAGAACCCCAUGCCUUUGGACAUGCUGUUCCUUCUGCCUGGAAUUCCCUUGUCCGCCUGGUGAACUCCUCGUUCUGCAAGACUCCGCUCAAACAGCACCUUCGAGAAGACUACCCUGCCCCUUCCCUGCCCCACAUCCCCUCCCCCCGGGUCCCCAGACCCAUUGUACAUCGGUCCUUGUGGGGCUGCUUCCCAUACACGGGGCCAAGUGGGCCUCCCUUCACCACCAGACUGAGCCCCUCCAAGGGCAGGGACUGUCUUUUAUCUUUGCAUCCCCCGCUGCACCCCGUGCCCUGCCAAUUGGGGCACUCGGUGGAUGGUGUGCGGGCGGAUGGGUGAGUGAGCAGACAAAGGUGGGUCUGAGGCUGGCCCUGUGUGGUAUGAGGUUUGGUGGUCAGGACCUGGGGGGUGGUCCUGAGUGCCGGCUGGUGGGUUUGGAAGACUCUGGUGCUAUGGGGUCUUACUCUGCUCUCUAGGUCCCGUAGCCCCCGGAAGCCAAUAGACUCCCUCCGAGACUCUCGGUCCCUCAGCUACUCGCCUGCGGAGCGCCGCCGCCCCUCACCCCAGCCCUCGCCACGGGACCAGCAGAGCAGUGAGCGGGGUUCCCGCAGAGGCCAGCGUGGGG
Zalophus californianus (California sea lion) is the source of this 9160-nucleotide RNA transcript. It is a transcript of the gene named serine/arginine repetitive matrix 2, with no coding region annotated. NCBI's taxonomy places the organism in Eukaryota, Metazoa, Chordata, Mammalia, Carnivora, Otariidae. The transcript is spliced from 14 exons. The record is from RefSeq and is a predicted model, not a curated record.